This 510-nucleotide ribosomal RNA is filed under the name uncultured bacterium. Its description in RNAcentral is "partial 16S ribosomal RNA". It matches the Rfam family "Bacterial small subunit ribosomal RNA", at positions 28 to 507 of the family's 1533-position model. The record is from RNAcentral.
GACGAACGCUGGCGGCGUGCUUAACACAUGCAAGUCGAACGAAGAGCGAUGGAAGCUUGCUUCUAUCAAUCUUAGUGGCGAACGGGUGAGUAACGCGUAAUCAACCUGCCCUUCAGAGGGGGACAACAGUUGGAAACGACUGCUAAUACCGCAUACGAUCUAACCUCGGCAUCGAGGAUAGAUGAAAGGUGGCCUCUACAUGUAAGCUAUCACUGAAGGAGGGGAUUGCGUCUGAUUAGCUAGUUGGAGGGGUAACGGCCCACCAAGGCGAUGAUCAGUAGCUGGUCUGAGAGGAUGAACGGCCACAUUGGGACUGAGACACGGCCCAGACUCCUACGGGAGGCAGCAGUGGGGAAUCUUCCGCAAUGGACGAAAGUCUGACGGAGCAACGCCGCGUGAGUGAUGACGGCCUUCGGGUUGUAAAGCUCUGUUAAUCGGGACGAAAGGCCUUCUUGCGAAUAGUGAGAAGGAUUGACGGUACCGGAAUAGAAAGCCACGGCUAACUACGUG